AACUAACGCUGGCGGCGUGCCUAACACAUGCAAGUCGUACGAGAAAGUUGGCUUCGGCCGAUGAGUAAAGUGGCGCACGGGUGAGUAAUGCGUGGAUAAUCUGCCCUUUAGUUGGGAAUAACGUACCGAAAGGUGCGCUAAUACCUGAUAAUACUGCAUAACUACUGUUGUGUAGUCAAAGAAGGCCUCUGUUUACAAGCUUUUGCUGAAGGAUGAGUCCGCGUACCAUUAGCUGGUUGGUGGGGUAAUGGCCUACCAAGGCUACGAUGGUUAGCUGGUCUGAGAGGAUGAUCAGCCACACUGGAACUGAGACACGGUCCAGACUCCUACGGGAGGCAGCAGUGAGGAAUAUUGCGCAAUGGGGGCAACCCUGACGCAGCAACGCCGCGUGAGUGAGGAAGGUUUUCGGACCGUAAAGCUCUGUCGAGCGGGAAGAAAUGUAUCAUGGCUAAUAUCCAUGAUACUGACGUACGCUAAAGGAGCACCGG
This 488-nucleotide ribosomal RNA is filed under the name uncultured bacterium. RNAcentral describes it as "bacterial SSU rRNA". It matches the Rfam family "Bacterial small subunit ribosomal RNA", at positions 29 to 496 of the family's 1533-position model. The record is from RNAcentral.